GGCAAAGAAAAAGACGAAAAACAUGGCAAUUAUUCAUGAAAAGCGGUGUCCCAAAUCGAAUUAGCACCACUUCUUCAAUUGAUA
Non-coding RNA from Caenorhabditis elegans, 84 nucleotides. NCBI's taxonomy places the organism in Eukaryota, Metazoa, Nematoda, Chromadorea, Rhabditida, Rhabditidae. The record is from Ensembl.